AGGCACUCUGAGCCUCAAGCUGCAGCUGCAGGGAGCGGAGGAGACGGUGCUGUGGACCCAGCGGGGCAGCCAGGGCAGCAUGUGGCACCGCGGGCUGGCGACGCUCCCUGCCACGGGGCAGCAGCACUUCCAGCUGUCCUUCGAGGCGCUGCGGGACGGCUUUGUGGGCGACAUGGCGCUGGACGACGUGGCGCUGACGGCGGGUGCCUGCGGGGCCGAGCUCUCCUGCUCCUUCGAGGCGGGCGCCUGCGGGCUGGCGGGCAGUGGGCAGUGGUGGUGGCAGAGCGGCGGC
Molecule: long non-coding RNA, 292 nt
Filed under: Chrysolophus pictus (golden pheasant)
Lineage: Eukaryota; Metazoa; Chordata; Aves; Galliformes; Phasianidae
Description: lncRNA (ENSCPIG00010008812.1)
Source: RNAcentral